CGUCUAAGUUAUGGAAGGGGAAGUUGCCUGGAAGGGCACAGCCAGAGAGGGUGAAAGUCCCGUAACCGUACAUAAUAUGACCACGUGACUGUCAAAGAGUAGCAUGCGUUGGAAAUCGCGUGUGAAUGUGGGAGGCAAAUACUUCCAAUCCUAAAUACAGCUCGAGACCGAUAGUUUACAAGUAACGUGAGUGAAAGCUGAAAAGUAUCCUUAGCGGGAUGUGAAAAGAUCGUGAAACCAGUUGGGUACAGGCUGAUUGGGCGUGAAAGCGAUGAUAUGAGCAGCGUCCAAUCGUGCGUUUAGAAAAAUGCCCCAGGGAGUCUUGAUCAUUGGCGAGGUUAAGCGGUUGAUCCGCGUAGCCGAAGGGAAACCGACAAGUCCGCAGCAGUUUACUGUGAGGGACGAAGUGUGCUCGCUUGGAGUCAAUGGUGGAGGACCUGAAGCCCGACGAUCUAUGCCUGGCCAGAUUGAAGCCCGUUGAAAGAUGGGUGGAGGAUCGAACCGUUGCUGAUCUGCAAAUCGCUCGGACGAGCUGGGUAUAGGGGUGAAAGUCCAAUCGAGUUGGGCAAUAGCAGGUUCCGCGUGAAACUACUCGUAGGUAGACGUUAGAGGAGAUUGAUUACGCUGUAGAGCACUGAUUGCGCAUUUAGGGGGAGCGAUUCCUCGAUGCGCUGCCAAACUCCGAAGGUGUAAUCGUCGUAGAUACUAGCAGUGAGUGAUGGUGGGUAAGCUACCAUUACGCAAGGUGAACAAACCAGCCUGAAGUUAAGGUCCCUAAAUAUCAAUUAAGUGUCACAGACAAACCGUGUCCGUGGUCGAAAACAACUAGAAGGUGGGCUUAGAAGCAGCCAUCCUUGAAAGAGUUCGUAACAGAUCACUAGUCUAGCUUGCGGGCCGGGAAAAGGGACGGGGCUAAAAUUGAUUACCGAUACUUCAGACCAUCGAAAGAUGAUGUGGUAACGCGGCGUUGUGUUUGGAUAGAAGGUGGGCUUUAAGGUCCGCUGGACCGAAUACAAAUGAGAGUCUUGGGAAGAGUAGCAGCACAGUGUGGUGAGAAUCCGCACCGCCUUAUAAACCAGGGUUCCUCGGCACUGUUUAUCAGCCGAGGGUUAGCCGGUCCUAAGGUCAUUCUUAACCGAAAUGAUCGAAAGGGAAAUGCGUUAAUAUUCGUAUGCCUCCUAUACAUAAAAUGGUGACGGCUUGGGCAAAACUUGUGGAUCAUAUGUCAGGUCCACUUGCACUAAAUUUCUGGAGAACUGUCACAGUGAGAAGGAAAUAAAGUCCCAGGUCCCGUGAAAAGCCGUAUAGGAUGUCCGUACCGAGAACUGACACAGGUGUUUUUGGGUGAGUAGCCUAAGGCGUAUCGGAUACAAGUAUCGCGAGGGAACUCGGCAAAAUAGCUCCGUAACUUCGGGAGAAGGAGUGCCAGAUUAGAGAUAAUCUGGUCGCAGUGACUAGGGAGCUCCGACUGUUUAAUAAAAACAUAGGGGACUGCCAGAUCGAAAGGUUGUGUAUAGUCCCUGAAUCCUGCUCAGUGCUGGUAUCUUAAAUCGGGUUUCAACCUGACGAAGGACCAGUAAACAGCGGGGGUAACUAUGACCCUCUUAAGGUAGCGUAAUACCUUGUCGCUUAAUUGGCGACUUGCAUGAAUGGUCCAACGAGGGCUCCACUGUCCCCGCGAUACGUCCGGCGAAAUUGACUUUACUGGCGCACAGUCCAGUACAUUCUACCCGCAAGCGAAGACCCCAUAGAGCUUUACUGCAGCCUGUCGUUGCAUUGUCGCUUUCCAUGUACUGUGUAGGUGGGAGACGUUGAUCCCUGGGACACUAGUAUCGGGAGUAGUCGAAACAAGAGACAACACCCUUGGAAGGUAACAAUGCUAACUCUUUAUGAGAACACCGAUUGGUGGGCAGUUUGGGUGGGGCGCCACGCGCUCGAAAACCUAACAAGCGUGCCCAAUGGUCAGCUUAAGUGGUUCAGCACUCCACUGUUAACUGUAAGGGGAAAAGCUGGCUUGACGUGGAUCCGCACAAUGAGGAUCGACGAUGCGAAAGCAGGGCCUAACGAACCAAUGUACCUCAUUUAUGGGGGUCAUGAAUAACAGAAAAGUUACUUCGGGGUAAAGUGGUUUGCCACCAGCAAGACCACAUACCACCCGGGUGGCUGGCUACUUCUAUGUCGCCUUUUCCCAACCUCCUGGUGCGUGAGCUGGGAAGU
Molecule: ribosomal RNA, 2217 nt
Filed under: marine metagenome
Description: bacterial LSU rRNA
Rfam family: Archaeal large subunit ribosomal RNA
Source: RNAcentral